UGCUGAGCCAGUUGGAGCUGGUACAUUUUAAUUACUUGCUGUCUUCACUGGAGUGCUGCAAGCUCGAAGUGUGAUCCUUAGUAGCUGUUAUUCAAUACCAUAUGCUCUUAAGGACAACGCCCUGAUGUCCAAGGUCAAUCAGCAAGAAGCUGAGAAGGCACUGUCAAAAUGGUUCACUGGGGCAAGGGACAGAGGAGGACAGAGAGCAUCAAGAAUGCAGAAAAGGAUGUCUGUUUGAGAAAGUCGCAGCACGAGCUUUUGAAGGAGCGCUGAGGGCGGAAAAGCGCCCGACAUCAUUCCCAUCUUUCCAUUGUCCAAUCGAAUGAGGGGAGAGGCAGGCCUUACGUUGUGGUGAGGGAAGUUUACAGUUGCUUUGAAGAACCGGACUCCACUCUCUCACUCUCUCCUGCGUCUUUGUGCACCUUUCACCCUCAAACAAGGUCGGAGUAAACGCUCUCUUUUUAAAGUUUCUGCUAAUAUGACAGUUAACAGCAAAAGAGCGCUCACGCUUCAAUAUUUGGACUUAUCAUGUGUAUGGCCUUCUUCAAGUUAAUCCAUAAAAUCUCUAUUGGGUUGAGGUCUGGGCUUUGACUUGGCCACUCCAAAGGCGGAUUUUGUUUUUCUGAAGCCAUUCUCUUGUGGACUUGCUCUGGUGUUUUGGAUCUUUGUCCUGUUGCAUCACCCAGACAAUCCUCCUACAGAAUUAUCCUGAAGAAUUGUCUGAUAAACUUGGGAAUUUAUCUUCCCCUCAAUGAUUGCAAGCUGGCCAGGCCCUGAUGCAGCAAAAAAGGCCCAAAUCAACAUGUUUUCUCCACCAUACUUUACAGUUGGGAUGAUGUUUUCACAAUGAUAUUGCGUGCCCUUUCUAUGCCAGAUGUAGUGCUGUGUGUUUUUUCCAAAUAGUUCAAUCUUUGUUUCAUUAGUCCACAAAACAUUUUGCCAAAUACCACUGUUGGAAUGUCAAUUUGUUCUUUUGCAAAUUUCAGGGGAAUAGCAAUGUUCCUUUUAGUACUGUAAGUAGUGACUUUCUUUGGUGUCCUGCCAUGGAUACACUGCUUGUUCAGUGUUUUACGUGUUGUAGACAAUCAUACAGAGAGUUCCAAUAAUGCCUUCAAAUCUUUGCAUGUCAUUCUGGGUUGUUUCUUUACCUCAUUCUUCGUGGUGCUCUUGGUGUCAUUUUGACUGGGCGUCCAUCUCUUGGUAGAGUAGCAACAGUCCCAAAAGCAUCUCCAUUUGUAGAUUGUAUGUCUAUAGACUGGUGAAUUUCUAAAGUCUUUGACAUAACUUUUAACCCUUUCCAGCUUCAACAAUUCUUGAUUGUAGCUUUUCUGAAAGCUCUUUUUGGUGAGGCAUGGCCCAUAUAAAAAAAUGAACUCCAAAAGUAAACUUCAAAGUAGCUGUAGUCCACACCUCCAAAUGCAUUAUCUUAAAGAGACUCCAGGUGUGAUAAAACCUCACUCCAAUUUGCUUUUUCGAGGUCUUGUUGGCUUAAAAGUUCACAUACUUUUUUCACAAGCACUAUGAGUUUUUUGGCUGUUCUUAAAUAAUUCUGUUCUUUCAUUUCUUUAUUGUUAAUUUUUUUUAGAACCAUUAUGUUUGUUCAAUAUUCUUGACUUGAAAU
Molecule: non-coding RNA, 1621 nt
Organism: Paramisgurnus dabryanus
Lineage: Eukaryota; Metazoa; Chordata; Actinopteri; Cypriniformes; Cobitidae
Source: RefSeq, a predicted model, not a curated record